Molecule: ribosomal RNA, 460 nt
Filed under: uncultured bacterium
Lineage: Bacteria
Description: partial 16S ribosomal RNA
Rfam family: Bacterial small subunit ribosomal RNA
Source: RNAcentral
CCUACGGGAGGCAGCAGUGAGGAAUAUUGGUCAAUGGACGAGAGUCUGAACCAGCCAAGUAGCGUGCAGGAUGACUGCCCUAUGGGUUGUAAACUUCUUUUAUAUGGGAAUAAAAUGUUCCACGUGUGGGGUUUUGUAUGUACCAUAUGAAUAAGGACCGGCUAACUCCGUGCCAGCAGCCGCGGUAAUACGGAGGAUCCGGGCGUUAUCCGGAUUUAUUGGGUUUAAAGGGAGCGUAGGUGGAUUGUUAAGUGUGUUGUGAAAGUGUGCGGCUCAACCGUAGAAUUGCAGUUGAAACUGGCAGGCUUGAGUACAGGAGAGGUGGGCGGAAUUCGUGGUGUAGCGGUGAAAUGCUUAGAUAUCACGAAGAACUCCGAUUGCGAAGGCAGCUCACGGGACUGCAACUGACACUGAGGCUCGAAAGUGUGGGUAUCGAACAGGAUUAGAUACCCUAGUAGUC